UAGCUUAUAUAAAACCAAUCUAAUAUCAUUUUAUCUUUCGUCGUAAAAACUUAUGCUUUAUAAGCUAUUAUCCAAGUUGUUUAUCCAAGUAGGACUCAAUAAACAUCAAAUCACUUGGAACAUAACAUCAAAUCAAUUUUUUUCUUCAAAAAAAAUAUUACCAUCAAUUUUUUGGAGGAUCUGAAGGAGAGGAGUUCUGAUGUGUGGGUCGUUUACGGAGGAUUUGAAGGAGAGAAGACGUCGCCUUCUUCACCCACUUACUUGCAUUAGCAACCCGCAAGAACACCUUAUCCCAGACACAUUUAUACACGUAAAGGAUUGAGUAGAGAACUACUAAGGAUCCGAACACACUAAUGAUGACAAUUAUUUGAACACCGAGAGCCAUGGUGAUUUGUCAGAAAGCGGCGGAGACCUGAAAAAGGAGUGUUGGCAGGAAGCGAUGGUGAAUGGAGGCAUGAUUUGUAUGACGUUUGGCGAACAUAUAUGCAUGGUACUGAGAGUUUAAUUCUCAAACCUUUCUUUUAUUUUGCUAUUUUGUCAAUUUUUUUAUUAAAAAAUUGACAGAGAAAAGAAAUUAUAGUCCAAUGAUUCCAAUACUUGUGAGGAUACAAGUCUGACAGGCCUUUUUGUCCUCAAGUCGUUAAGCUAAGUAGAUGUUGAAUGUGUUUAUGAACGGAAACUCACCCAUUUUAGAAUGGCUAGCUGUACAAAGUCAGGACCACUGAAAAAUAAAUCAUUUUUACUCUCUCAAUGCAAAUUAUUUUGAGAAUUGCUCUUGACACAUUUGGUUAGGCUGAGA
RNAcentral lists this long non-coding RNA (799 nucleotides) under Medicago truncatula (barrel medic). RNAcentral's name for it is "long non-coding RNA (MTRU_LNC006427)". Lineage: Eukaryota; Viridiplantae; Streptophyta; Magnoliopsida; Fabales; Fabaceae. The record is from RNAcentral.